ACCUGACUGCUAUCGGAUUGAUACUAAGCCAUGCGAGUCAUUGUAGCAAUACAAGGCAGACGGCUCAGUAACACGUAGUCAAUCUAACCUAUGGACGGGGAUAACCUCGGGAAACUGAGAAUAAUAUCCGAUAGGCCACUAUGCCUGGAAUGGUUUGUGGCCCAAAUGAUUUAUCGCCGUAGGAUGGGACUGCGGUCUAUCAGCUUGUUGGUGAGGUAAUGGCCCACCAAGGCUAUAACAGAUACGGGCUCUGAGAGGAGAGGCCCGGAGAUGGGUACUGAGACACGGACCCAGGCCCUAUGGGGCGCAGCAGGCGAGAAAACUUUGCAAUGUGCGAAAGCACGACAAGGUUAAUCCGAGUGUUUUCUGCUAAAGAAAUCUUUUACCGGUCUUAAAACCACCGGCGAAUAAGGGGUGGGCAAGUUCUGGUGUCAGCCGCCGCGGUAAAACCAGCACCUCAAGUGGUCAGGAGGAUUAUUGGGCCUAAAGCAUCCGUAGCCUGCCGUGUAAGUUUUCGGUUAAAUCUAUGCGCUCAACGCAUAGGCUGCCGGAAAUACUGCACGGCUAGGGAGUGGGAGAGGUAGACGGUACUCGGUAGGAAGGGGUAAAAUCCUCUGAUCUAUCGAUGACCCCCUGUGGCGAAGGCGGUCUACUAGAACACGUCCGACGGUGAGGGAUGAAAGCUGGGGGAACAAACCGGAUUAGAUACCCGGGUAGUCCCAGCUGUAAACAAUGCAAACUCAGUGAUGCAUUGGCGUAAGAGCCAGUGCAGUGCCGCAGGGAAGCCGUUAAGUUUGCCGCCUGGGAAGUACGUACGCAAGUAUGAAACUUAAAGGAAUUGGCGGGGGAGCACCACAAGGGGUGAAGCCUGCGGUUC
RNAcentral lists this ribosomal RNA (877 nucleotides) under uncultured Nitrososphaerota archaeon. Its description in RNAcentral is "bacterial SSU rRNA". It matches the Rfam family "Archaeal small subunit ribosomal RNA", at positions 21 to 903 of the family's 1478-position model. Lineage: Archaea; Thermoproteati; Nitrososphaerota. The record is from RNAcentral.